CCGCGCUGUGCUCCCGGCAGCGGCUCCCUCCGCGGCUCCCUCCGGGCUGAGCGAGCUCUAGACCCCGGCCCGCCCGCCCGCCGCGCCGCCUCCCUUCGCAUCUGGCCGGACCCCUCGGCCCGACGGCCACGGUGAGCUCACGGGCGCCUCCCCGGCCCUGGCGGCACCCCCGGGCGCUGCCCCGCGCCGGCGGGGUGCGCCCUACCCGGAAGCCCUGCCGCUCCAGACCUGCAGGCCGGGUCUGCGCCGGACUCCGAGGUGGGCCCUCCGGGCACGGAGACCCCGGCUGGCCCUGUGGCCCAUCCUCCCACUUUGGCAGGUCCUGAGCCCCGGGCUCCCUCCCACUGGCCAGGUGGCCUGUGUGGCUCGGGCCUGUUUUGCCCUCUGACCCCUGAAGUCUCAGCCCGAGACAGGUGGCUCAGGGAGCUGCUGGGGAGAAGGCCCAGGAGACACAGCCAGGAUGGGGAGACUGCCUGGCCUUGCCGUGGACCCCUCCGCCAAGUGCCCUGGAGGCGGAGGCGCCUGCUCCUUCCUCUUCCCUCGGAGCUCCUCAGACAGGAAGGCGCUACCCAUUCGGGAACCCUAAGCCUUGUCGGGUUAAUUGCUGUAUGACCCUCAGCAGGUGGACUAGGGCUGCCUGCAACACAGGUAGCCCCAGUAGCCACAAAAGGACCACGUGGAUAGCUUGAAUCCUGCUGAGGGUCAUGAGUGAUGGUCCUGCCUGGAGUACUCACGGCCCUGGAGAGAUGUAGACAAGCAGGGGACAGGGUGGAUACUGUUUUGCUAUGGGUUGAGUAGUGGUCAGGGGCAGGAGCUUUCUCCCAGCCACAAGGUCUCAGGACUAGUUCUGGAGGGACUGAGGUCCCAGGUUCUGAGGCAUUCAAGCACAAACUCAACCAAUACCCUUCUCAGGAGUAUGCCUUCAGCCUUUGAGCGGUUGGUCCGGAGCGUGGUCCGGGAGCUGGACCACAGCAGGGAGCUCAUCCCAGUGGACAGUCUUCAGAGCUCCACCAGCUACCAGCCUUACAGACUGCUGAGCAGGAAGUCCCCAAGCUCCUGGUUCUGGAGACCUCGUUAUACCUGUGUCAACCUGUCAAUCAAGGACAUUUUGGAGCCUGAUGCCCCAGAACCAGGUAUCCAGGGAGAAGAAAGGAGUGGCCUGGCCACACCUGCCACCUGCUAGGCUCACCAGCUCUGGGCCUCUGGCCCUGUUUGCAGAGGGUUGGCCUUUUCAAAGGUCCCACUGCCUGCGGGUGGGACAGGACAGUAGCAGGUGGGACAGGCCCCAUGCUCAGGUCUGGUCUUGCUUCAGAGUUGGAGCGUAGUGGCCCUUUCCACUUCUAUGACGCUGUGGACGGCCAGCUGCAGGGCAGUGUGGAGCUGGGAGCCCUGGGACAAGGGAAGAUCUCAGGUGGAGCUGCAGUGUCCGGCAGCUCCAGUGCUUCCAUGAACGUGUGCACGCUGCGUGUGGACCCAAACACUUGGGAGAUCAUGCAACAGGAGAGGUGAGCUCUGGAGGGACUGAGGUCCCUGACCCUGUGCAGCCACACAUAUGGGGAGGCCACUGGGUCAUGGACAUCAGGAGAAUCCCAAGGCCAUGCCUGUGUGCCAGCAAGGAGAGUCUAAGAUGCAAGGGAGCGCUGUGGCCAUGGUGGGCUGCCAGGGAAGGAGGCGGCACAGUCACCCAGACCUCAGUUGCAAGGACAUAUCAUGAAGGCAGGGACCUGGGGAUCAAACUGAGCCUCAGGCUCAGUGUAGAGGAGAGUAAAGGCUAGCGGGUGCCCCGGGGUCCCAUGGGUCCACUUCUCCCUGCUGGACCUCAUCCCUCCUCUUCACACCCACCUAGACACUGUUGGGAGUACCCAGGAAGGGUACCCAUGCCUGGCAUCUGCAGACUCCCAGAUGCCCUUGCCACUUCACCCCACCCAUCGUGGGGCAGUGGGGAGGCCAGUCUGUGGUGGACAUACCCCAGUGAGCUUCCUGCAGGCGCCUGCGGCAGCCCGAACACAAGAUCCUGGAGCAGCUGAGGAAUCGCAGGGACAAUGUGUAUGUGGUGACGGAGGUGCUACAGACCCAGGAAGAGGUGAAGGUCACCCAAACCCGCAAGAAGGAGGGCUCGGGCCAGUUUGCACUGCCUGGAAACAUGUGCCUUCAGGUGUGUGGCCGGCCCUCAGCCCAUCUUGGCCUGACAUGAACGCAGGGUGGCAGCAGGCGAGGUUUUGCCAAGAGCCCUGCAGGAGCAGUUCACAGCCCCACGCUUGACCCAGGGCUCCCCAAAGCCUGGGUUGGCUGACACCAGUAGCAAGCUUGUUACUAGCACCCAGCCCACACCACACCCCACGUCCCCACACCUAGGGCCCAGUCCUGCUAUGUCUAUUCGUCCC
Molecule: long non-coding RNA, 2384 nt
Filed under: Marmota monax (woodchuck)
Lineage: Eukaryota; Metazoa; Chordata; Mammalia; Rodentia; Sciuridae
Source: RNAcentral